Molecule: non-coding RNA, 697 nt
Organism: Labrus bergylta (ballan wrasse)
Lineage: Eukaryota; Metazoa; Chordata; Actinopteri; Labriformes; Labridae
Source: RefSeq, a predicted model, not a curated record
ACUCGGAGCCAGCACGAGGAGGAGAGGAAUAGGAGAGGGCGAGAUGUCAUGAAGCGCUGAGGGAGGAGCAGUGAGCCAGAACCCAGCGAGAGGUCAUCCACCCUUACAUAACUGGCCUGGAAACACACCUGGAGAGGAGGUUUCAUGAUCUGGACAUUCUUGGGGCCUUCAGUAUCUUGGGACCCGCACCGCAAUCAACCACUCUACAAGAUGAUACAAUCAACAUCUCUCAUCUGCGGACUCUUGCCAGGAAAUGUUGCCCUGAACAUGAGAAUGAGGUCCUGCAGGAGUGGUCCUCGUUCAAAAAUCAUGUCCUUCCUGGGGCAUUCACGGUGGGUCAAUUAAGCUGAUUCUGACUACAAUCAACUGCAGUUCACAAUACACACACAUAGACUAAUGCCUUGGUAAACCAAAUGUUGUUUCAAGAACAAUAACCAGGAGAUCAUGAGUCUGCUGGCAAGCGAGUUUGAUGAGUGGACCAACCUCUACCCCUGUCUGAGCCUCCUUGCAGGCAUUGCACUUGUUUUACCCGUUUCCUGUGUCAAUUACAACGUGAUUUCUCAACGGUGAACAGGGUGAAAACAGACCUGAAACCAGCUUCAAGGUGAACACCUGGCUGCCUGCCUGAGGAUCUCCAUAAACGGACCCCAUCCUGAGGCCUUCUCAUGUAAUAGGGCAUUGGAAUAUUUUUUCAGAA